AAGCGGUGGAUGAUGUGGAUUAAUUCGAUGCAACGCGAAAACCUUACCUACCCUUGACAUGUCCGGAAUCCGAAGAGAUUUGGGAGUGCUCGCAAGAGAGCCGGAACACAGGUGCUGCAUGGCUGUCGUCAGCUCGUGUCGUGAGAUGUUGGGUUAAGUCCCGCAACGAGCGCAACCCUUGUCAUUAGUUGCCAUCAUUUGGUUGGGCACUCUAAUGAGACUGCCGGUGACAAACCGGAGGAAGGUGGGGAUGACGUCAAGUCCUCAUGGCCCUUAUGGGUAGGGCUUCGCACGUCAUACAAUGGUCGGUACAGAGGGUUGCCAACCCGCGAGGGGGAGCUAAUCCCACAAAGCCGAUCGUAGUCCGGAUCGCAGUCUGCAACUCGACUGCGUGAAGUCGGAAUCGCUAGUAAUCGUGGAUCAGCAUGUCACGGUGAAUACGUUCCCGGGUCUU
RNAcentral lists this ribosomal RNA (454 nucleotides) under uncultured Rhodocyclaceae bacterium. RNAcentral describes it as "bacterial SSU rRNA". It matches the Rfam family "Bacterial small subunit ribosomal RNA", at positions 927 to 1382 of the family's 1533-position model. Lineage: Bacteria; Pseudomonadati; Pseudomonadota; Betaproteobacteria; Rhodocyclales; Rhodocyclaceae. The record is from RNAcentral.